GAUGAACGCUGGCGGCGUGCCUAAUACAUGCAAGUCGAGCGAACAGACGAGGAGCUUGCUCCUCUGACGUUAGCGGCGGACGGGUGAGUAACACGUGGAUCACCUACCUAUAAGACUGGGAUAACUUCGGGAAACCGGAGCUAAUACCGGAUAAUAUAUUGAACCGCAUGGUUCAAUAGUGAAAGACGGUUUUGCUGUCACUUAUAGAUGGAUCCGUGCCGGAUUAGCUAGUUGGUAAGGUAACGGCCUACCAAGGCAACGAUGCGUAGCCGACCUGAGAGGGUGAUCGGCCACACUGGAACUGAGACACGGUCCAGACUCCUACGGGAGGCAGCAGUAGGGAAUCUUGCGCAAUGGGCGAAAGCCUGACGGAGCAACGCCGCGUGAGUGAUGAAGGUCUUCGGAUCGUAAAACUCUGUUAUUAGGGAAGAACAAAUGUGUAAGUAACCAUGCACGUCUUGACGGUACCUAAUCAGAAAGCCACGGCUAACUACGUG
Molecule: ribosomal RNA, 497 nt
Filed under: uncultured bacterium
Lineage: Bacteria
Description: partial 16S ribosomal RNA
Rfam family: Bacterial small subunit ribosomal RNA
Source: RNAcentral